This 430-nucleotide ribosomal RNA is filed under the name uncultured bacterium. RNAcentral's name for it is "bacterial SSU rRNA". It matches the Rfam family "Bacterial small subunit ribosomal RNA", at positions 355 to 776 of the family's 1533-position model. The record is from RNAcentral.
UGGGGAAUAUUGCGCAAUGGGCGAAAGCCUGACGCAGCGACGCCGCGUGGGUGAUGAAGGCCUUCGGGUCGUAAAACCCUGUCGGGUGGAACGAAUUCCCUCUUCGCUAAUAUCGGGGAGGAUUGACGGUACCACCGAAGGAAGCCCCGGCUAACUACGUGCCAGCAGCCGCGGUAAUACGUAGGGGGCGAGCGUUGUUCGGAUUUACUGGGCGUAAAGAGCGCGUAGGCGGUACGAUAAGUCGGAGGUGAAAUCCCUCGGCUCAACCGAGGACCCGCGUCCGAUACUGUCGAACUUGAGUGCAGGAGAGGAGAGCGGAAUUCCCAGUGUAGCGGUGAAAUGCGUAGAUACUGGGAGGAACACCGGUGGCGAAGGCGGCUCUCUGGACUGUCACUGACGCUGAGGCGCGAAAGCUAGGGGAGCAAACGGG